AAAGCCACCUCGCGGCGCCCAUCCCUGGCGCCGCCCCGCCCUGUCACCGCCUCCUCCUCACCUCACCCCCGAGUCGCCCCCGACGCCCGUCCGCGCGCCGCCCUCGAUCUGGAACUGGGACUCCGUCCCGAUGCCACAGCCGCUUGGAGUCCCCCUCGCCGGAGCCACGACACCGCCGAACCGCGACCUCGUCUCCUCCUCGCGCCGCUUCAUCAAGCCUCAUCGCCCCCGUUCCUCUACGCGCCCACCCCGAGACCGAUGCCGCCGCUGCGAUCGACUACGUCUCUGACGAGCCUUCUUCCUUUUCAACAGAGCUUCCAGGCAAGCAAACCCCCCAUGACGGAUUCCAGGAGCCAAACGACACCACUGAUGACUACUACAACCCCGAGGGUGCCUACUACGUGACGACCGCUGACGACCUGGAGUAGUUAGGAGGCUCCCAGGCAGGAGG
This is a long non-coding RNA of Triticum aestivum (bread wheat), 451 nucleotides long. RefSeq lists it as uncharacterized. The record is from RefSeq and is a predicted model, not a curated record. The transcript is spliced from 3 exons. Lineage: Eukaryota; Viridiplantae; Streptophyta; Magnoliopsida; Poales; Poaceae.